AUUGAACGCUGGCGGCAUGCUUUACACAUGCAAGUCGGACGGCAGCACAGAGAAGCUUGCUUCUUGGGUGGCGAGUGGCGAACGGGUGAGUAACAUAUCGGAACGUACCGAGCAGUGGGGGAUAACUAAUCGAAAGAUUAGCUAAUACCGCAUAUCUUCUGAGGAAGAAAGCAGGGGACCAUUUGGCCUUGCGCUGUUUGAGCGGCCGAUAUCUGAUUAGCUAGUUGGUGGGGUAAAGGCCUACCAAGGCGACGAUCAGUAGCGGGUCUGAGAGGAUGAUCCGCCACACUGGGACUGAGACACGGACCAGACUCCUACGGGAGGCAGCAGUGGGGAAUUUUGGACAAUGGGCGCAAGCCUGAUCCAGCCAUGCCGCGUGUCUGAAGAAGGCCUUCGGGUUGUAAAGGACUUUUGUCAGGGAAGAAAAGGGCGGGGUUAAUACCCCUGUCUGAUGACGGUACCUGAAGAAUAAGCACCGGCUAACUACGUG
Molecule: ribosomal RNA, 490 nt
Filed under: uncultured bacterium
Lineage: Bacteria
Description: partial 16S ribosomal RNA
Rfam family: Bacterial small subunit ribosomal RNA
Source: RNAcentral